RNAcentral lists this ribosomal RNA (671 nucleotides) under Erwinia sp. 5hR6. RNAcentral describes it as "bacterial SSU rRNA". It matches the Rfam family "Bacterial small subunit ribosomal RNA", at positions 68 to 730 of the family's 1533-position model. Lineage: Bacteria; Pseudomonadati; Pseudomonadota; Gammaproteobacteria; Enterobacterales; Erwiniaceae. The record is from RNAcentral.
AGCACAGAGGAGCUUGCUCCUUGGGUGACGAGUGGCGGACGGGUGAGUAAUGCCUGGGAAACUGCCCGAUGGAGGGGGAUAACUACUGGAAACGGUAGCUAAUACCGCAUAACGUCUUCGGACCAAAGUGGGGGACCUUCGGGCCUCACACCAUCGGAUGUGCCCAGGUGGGAUUAGCUAGUAGGUGGGGUAAUGGCUCACCUAGGCGACGAUCCCUAGCUGGUCUGAGAGGAUGACCAGCCACACUGGAACUGAGACACGGUCCAGACUCCUACGGGAGGCAGCAGUGGGGAAUAUUGCACAAUGGGCGCAAGCCUGAUGCAGCCAUGCCGCGUGUAUGAAGAAGGCCUUCGGGUUGUAAAGUACUUUCAGCGGGGAGGAAGGCGGUGGGGUUAAUAGCUUCAUCGAUUGACGUUACUCGCAGAAGAAGCACCGGCUAACUCCGUGCCAGCAGCCGCGGUAAUACGGAGGGUGCAAGCGUUAAUCGGAAUUACUGGGCGUAAAGCGCACGCAGGCGGUCUGUCAAGUCGGAUGUGAAAUCCCCGGGCUUAACCUGGGAACUGCAUUCGAAACUGGCAGGCUAGAGUCUUGUAGAGGGGGGUAGAAUUCCAGGUGUAGCGGUGAAAUGCGUAGAGAUCUGGAGGAAUACCGGUGGCGAAAGGCGGCCCCCU